Cornus florida is the source of this 1877-nucleotide RNA transcript. It is a transcript of the gene named protein SRC2 homolog, with no coding region annotated. Lineage: Eukaryota; Viridiplantae; Streptophyta; Magnoliopsida; Cornales; Cornaceae. The transcript has 14 exons. The record is from RefSeq and is a predicted model, not a curated record.
GGCGAAAAGCAAGAGGGCUCUGUGCCUGAGAAAUUAUCGUGUCAGAUUUCCAAAUGUGGCAGAAGAACAAUUUCGCGGAGAAUCAGGAUUCUGAUCAAAGCAUAUCUGAAGAGGAAGAUUGCUCUCCUGAUUGGCCGGGAAAUUGUAUUUCCUUAGGUGGACCUGCAGAAAAGGGAGGACUACAAAUUCAAUCACAGCUUGAGAUACUCAGAGAUACUUGUGGUCAUGGGAAAACAGGCUUCUUUAUUGAAGACGAGGUUGAACUUCCUUUCUUCCACAAUGAGGGUGACUUAGUUCGUUCUCCAAGGAGGGCAUCUACAUGCAAGUUGGAUGGAGAAAUUUUUUUUGAUGAGGAGUUACACAAUAAGUUUCAUUUCCUUAUUCAAAAACAUUUGACACUGGCUAUGGUUUUUGAGGUAAAGAAAAAUGCCGUGCUUUCAACAUUACCCAGUACUUCUGGGGCUAAAGAUUUCCAGAAAGUCAAUCCUCAGAGCUUUGGGAACGAAAGUCAAAAUGAGGUAUGCACAUGGUCAACAGUAGCUAAAGAAGCCAAGGCUCUGGUUCAUUUAAAUGAGAAUGCUGGGUGUUCCUCAUCCCAGGCUUUCUCUUCCAAAACGAACUGGUUUUCUAAAGCGGGCCGAGGGAAAGCCAAGCCAAAAUUUUCAUUUCGUUUCCAGUCACACAAGGGAGAUUCUUGGCCUGUUGAUAGCAAGGAUGGGAAUGACAUGCCACACAAGCUUCUAGAAAAUAUUGAUCACAUAACAAUGGAACAUUCCGUUGCUGAUCGUGUGGGAACUUUUCAGGGAAAAAAGAUGGAACAGUUGAAGAUUUAUGCAGCACCAACUGAACUGGCAGUUGGUCAUAAUUAUGCAGAGCAUUCAAUGGCUGAGCUUCUGGAUGGCUAUCAGGAAAGUAAUGAUUUGGUGCAGCGAAAUUUUAAAAUGAAUACUAAAACAAGAGGAAAAAUGGUUCAGCUUGUUAAGAGAAGUAUACCCCUGUUGGAUUCAGGAAACAUGGACGAUAAUAACCCCCCUGAGACUCUAGAUAGUGGAACAUCAAGUGAUGAAGAGGCUAAUGUUCAAAAUCUAAAUCUUAUUAUCCCUGAAUCGAUUCGGAAGACUAUUGCUGAACAAUUUCAUGAAGCUUUAGGUGCUGCUUCUAUGCAUGGUGAGGGUCCCCUCUUUGCAUUGCCUAGGCAAUUGGGUGUUGGAUUAUUUGGCAAGUUGCAGCGGGUAAUGCAUAGUGAAAAGGAAAGAGAUAUGGAUUUCUUAAAGAGGUUACAGACAGGAGCUUUUGCAAAUGAUGAAGCAAGCUGUAUUGAUGUGAAAAUUUUGUCAAGGAGUUUGGAAGCAAAGCUGACUGUCUGUUGUUGUUCUCUCAGCAUAGACAAAAAGAGCUCUCAUUGGGCAGGAAGACCCCUAAUAACAAAGGAAAAUGGGGAAAGAACUUUGACAAUCAUUUUUAGCUCAAAAGCAUGCGGUGAUGUUGAGCUUGAAGUUGGGAAUUUGGUUCGUAUUCACCCACCAUGGUAUGAACAGUACAAUGGAAAGAGGCAAGGGUGAUGGGGAAAGAUGAGACCAUCAUUUUAUCCACAUAUUUCUCCCAGAUUUGAACUCAAUAAAUUUGGCCUGAAUUGUGGAGAGGUCAAUUCAAGGUCAAGAAAUGGCAUGACAAAUGGGCAACCAAACCCAGGUGGAAGGAUAAAGUAUGAACUUACCUUCUGGAAAGAAAGAAGGAAAAAGAAGAGACAAGGUAUCAUUAUCUUUUGGGGAAAUUCAUGUUUAAUUUUUAAAAAGGUGUAAGAUGAAAGGAGAAGACAAGGAAAGGAAUCAUACAUUCUACAAUGACCAAAGUGAAAAAAAAAAAAUUAAGGAAGG